This 497-nucleotide ribosomal RNA is filed under the name uncultured bacterium. Its description in RNAcentral is "partial 16S ribosomal RNA". It matches the Rfam family "Bacterial small subunit ribosomal RNA", at positions 28 to 507 of the family's 1533-position model. The record is from RNAcentral.
GAUGAACGCUGGCGGCGUGCCUAAUACAUGCAAGUCGAGCGAACGGACGAGAAGCUUGCUCCACUGAUGAUAGCGGCGGACGGGUGAGUAACACGUGGAUAACCUACCUUUAAGCGUGGGACAACAUUGGGAAACGAGUGCUAAUACCGCAUAAUAACUUUAAACGUAUGGUUCAAAAGUGAAAGAUGCUAUUGCAGCACCCUAAGAUUGGAUCCUCGUUGCUUAAGCUAGUUGUUAAGGUAACGGCCUACAAAGCGAACAAUGCAUGCCCAACUUGAGAGGGUGAUCGACCACAUGGGAACGGGAACACGGUCCAGACUCCUACGGGAGGCAGCGUAAGGGAACCUUCCGCAUUGAGCGAAGGCCUGACGGGGCAACGCGGCGUGAGUGAUGAAGGUCUUCGGAUCGUAAAACUCUGUUAUUAGGGAGAAACAUGUGUGUAAGGAACUGUUCACAUCGUGACGGUACCUAAUCAGAAAGCCACGGCUAACUACGUG